GCCUGCUGUGCCUGAGUCGAAGUGAGUUCGGGAAGCCAGUGCCCGAAUGCUCAACCUUGCUGUAUCAGGGAGGGCCGGAGAGGGGAGCUCAAGAAGAGGACGUCCUAUCGAGGUGGCAGGGAUUUUCUGAAGGAGGGCGUAUUUUGAAAUUCCACUUCUAGGAAACUGACAGAAUGAGCUUCCAAGGCCCAGGAGACAGUAAGUAGUAACCAAUGCAAGAUGGUGUGUCAAGGACAAAGAGAGACCAUCAGACAUGACGGGCUUCCCAGUGGGAGGACACCACACCACCCAUAAGGAAUCUUUGCCAAAAAAGUUGAGUUUGAAGCCGAUAAAAUAUAUAGACCAGCGAUUCUCAAGCGGGGACCAUUCUGUCCCCCAGGGACACUUAGCAACAUCUAGACACAUUUUUUUAAUUGUCACAACUUGGGGGAAGGGGACUGCUACUGGCAUCUGGUGCAGGGAGGCCAGGGAUGUUGCUAAAUAUAUGCUACAAUGCACAGGACACGUCCCACCCCAGGGAAUGAUCCAGCCCCAAAUGUUAAGAGUCAAACCUGUUCUGGACACUAUCUCAAUUUCUGUAAUAAAUAAAUUCCAAGAGGGAAGAGAGACAGACAGAAAGAGAAAAGGCACCUACAGAUGAAAUAUUUUCUUUUCUUUUCUUUUCUUUUUUUUAUUUUUUUGAGAUAGGGGCUUGCUCUGUUGCCCAGGCUAGAGUACACUGGCACAAUCACGGCUGACAGCAGCCUUGACCUCCUGGGCUCAAGCAAUCCUCCCACCUCAGCCUCCCAAGCAGCUGGGACUACAGGCACAAACCACCACAACCAGCUAGAUUUUCAAUUUUUUUGUAGAGAUGAGGGACUCACUAUGUUGCCCAGGCUGGUCUACAACUCUUGGGCUCAAGCGAUCCUCCCGCCUCGGCUUCCCAAAGUGCUGGGAUUACAGGCAUGAGCCAUUGCGCUCAGCCAAGAAUUCUUACAAGACACAUCAACCAGUCAUAAUGCUGGUUGUGUAUUUAAUUAUGGAAAUAAGAAAAAACACAUUUUUGACAUUGUGAGACAGAAUUGAGCCACUGCCCAGAUUCCUGAUGACACUGAGAUAUCACUGUCACUUAAAAACAAUGCUUACCAGACACAAAAGGCGACA
This 1143-nucleotide long non-coding RNA is filed under the name Homo sapiens (human). RNAcentral's name for it is "non-protein coding lnc-NXNL1-3:11". Lineage: Eukaryota; Metazoa; Chordata; Mammalia; Primates; Hominidae. The record is from RNAcentral.